AUUGAACGCUGGCGGCAUGCCUUACACAUGCAAGUCUAACGGCAGCACGGUAGCAAUCCUGGUGGCGAGUGGCGAACGGGUGAGUAAAGUAUCGGAACGUGCCCAGUCGUGGGGGAUAACGUAGCGAAAGUUACGCUAAUACCGCAUCCGAUCCAUGGAUGAAAGCGGGGGAUCGCAAGACCUCUCCCGCGUGGACCGCCCGAUAGCAGAUUAGGAAGUUGGUGGGGUAAAGGCUCACCAAGCCGACGGUCUGUAGCUGGUCUGAGAGGACGACCAGCCACACUGGGAGUGGGACACGGCCCAGAGGCCUACGGGAGGCAGCACUGGGGAAUUUUGGACAAUGGGCGAAAGCCUGAUCCGGCCAUGCCGCGUGCAGGAUGAAGGCCUUCGGGUUGUAGACUGCUUUUGUACGGAACGAAAAGGUUUGGCCUAAUAAGCUGAGCUCAUGACGGUACCGUAAGAAUAAGCACCGGCUAACUACGUGCCAGCCGCCGCCGUAA
This 500-nucleotide ribosomal RNA is filed under the name uncultured bacterium. RNAcentral describes it as "partial 16S ribosomal RNA". It matches the Rfam family "Bacterial small subunit ribosomal RNA", at positions 30 to 523 of the family's 1533-position model. The record is from RNAcentral.